GAAACUUUGCAAGGGGAAAUGGGAGGCAAUUCUCUCCUUGCAGAAUCUCCUGAAAAACACGGUCUGGUUGUCCAAGAAAUCCCUAGUUGGUCCUUCAGGGCUGCAUUUCUAGACCAAGAGAUUAUCAUCCUCAUCGACAAUCUGGGCUAUCUCUCUUGUGAACCUUCCUUUUUUCAGAGAGGUUAGAGCUGCUCCAAUUGGACCGUGUAGGCUCAUUUUCCAUGUUAAGAAGUGGUCCGGUCUUAUCUGGAGAUAUCUUUCACAAUUCUAUAGUGUUUUGUCAGGAUUUCAAUUUCUAACCUCUUUGACACAAGCACGACAGAGAUAACUCCUUGCCCUUCUCUAAAUCCUGGUUGACCAACUCAGUGUUCAAUGGAAUGUUCUUUUUCUUUCACUCAACUGAUAUAAAACAACUAAAGGAUUUAUGCAGCACAUCACACCAGCAUUUUAAAAGUCAAUAAAAUAGCUAAAUAAAAUAAAAAGCUAAAAUAAAGUAGAAUGCAACUACAGGUCACACAAUGAAAUACAAUAAAAUAGUUUAAAAUGAAAGUUAAUAUUAAAAUCACAAACAUAUAAAAUGGACAUAUAAAUUUAUACAACACUCAUUCCAUUGAACAUAGAUGUCUGGGAUAUCUUGGGAUUCAAAAGCAAAACAAAAGAAAACUACCAUGCAUUGGAAGACCUAAAACGGCGAGGUUUAUCUCUCUGCCCUUUCUAACGUGAUCAGAUGAAUGGCUUUGUGAACGCAAACUGACGAUAACACUAUAGACCCACCUAAAAACUUUGAGAGAAAAUUCCAUCCAACUUCAAAACAAUUUCACUUCCUAUGCUUUGUUUAAGAACGUCUGACACACUGAGUAUUUUGUCCUCAAAGUUUUCAAUCUGUACAGCUUUGGGAGGCUGCCACUCUGGACUGGAACUUUCCUGGAUGAGGUAGGCCCUGGUAGAAGCAGAGGUAGGUGCGGGUCAGAAGGGAGAAAUUUUCUAAAUUCCCAGCAAGGGUGGUGGCGGGGAGGGGAGGCGUUCAAGGGAUGUCCUCUGGGUGGCUCUGGGAGCCGGCAAGUGUUGCCUCGGUGGCUUUCAGUGCAUUUACUCCUGCCUUAGCUUUUCCACUUCAAAAUCUUUUUGAAGAUUUUUGUUUUGUAGAUUUUGUAGGAUUUUUGUUCCCGACACGGAACAAGGAGAGAAUCGGCGUUCCUAAAUCCGGGGAAGAAAUCAGGCGGAGGGGUAGCGGAGCAAGAAGAAUUCACGUGAUGUUGCCUGCCGUCUGAGUCGUGGGCACUGCCCUUGCUGCCCCUUAUUGCAGCGGGGGGAAGCAGGGGCAGUCCGCACCCCUAAAUUUGAGGAUCCAAGGCCUCCAGUCAAGCCACCUCUAACGUCAUCCUGGACGCUGAACACCCGGAGGGAACCCAUCCUGAAGCACUGCUGCCUCCACCCUAAGGACCCCAACCUAAGGACCCCCGCCCUCCAUCCAAGCCAGCUCCAACUUCUUCCUGGACUCACAACACCCCGCUGGAAGCCCUCCUGAAGCACUCCUGCCUCAACCCUAAGGACUCCAGCCAAGCCAGCUCCAACUUCUUCCUGGACUCUCAACACCCUGAGGGAAACCAUCCUGAAGCACUCCUGACUCCAUCCCAACCACAAACAACCCCACACCCAGGCCACAAGAUGUCUUCUGGGCCUGGCGUUGUCUCUGACCUUCCUGUCCACUUCUCCACCUCCAACCCUCCCACCCUCCCGCCCCCCCACCCCAUACCCAAUCCUGAUCACCCUGUCCACCUACCCCCCUCCAAACCCUAGCCACCUCUCCCCCAUUAAACACCCCCGACACCACCCCUGCCAGCUAUUCAGAAGUAAGCUUUUCUUCCCCAGAACUCUUUGUUAGUGAUUAAAUGUUGUUCAAAUCCCAUCUCACA
This is a long non-coding RNA of Ornithorhynchus anatinus (platypus), 1916 nucleotides long. RefSeq lists it as uncharacterized. The transcript has 2 exons. The record is from RefSeq and is a predicted model, not a curated record. Lineage: Eukaryota; Metazoa; Chordata; Mammalia; Monotremata; Ornithorhynchidae.